GAUGAACGCUAGCUACAGGCUUAACACAUGCAAGUCGAGGGGCAGCAUGAACUUAGCUUGCUAAGUUUGAUGGCGACCGGCGCACGGGUGAGUAACACGUAUCCAACCUUCCGUUUACUCAGGGAUAGCCUUUCGAAAGAAAGAUUAAUACCUGAUGGUAUGGUGAGAUUGCAUGAUAGCACCAUUAAAGAUUUAUUGGUAAACGAUGGGGAUGCGUUCCAUUAGGUAGUAGGCGGGGUAACGGCCCACCUAGCCGACGAUGGAUAGGGGUUCUGAGAGGAAGGUCCCCCACAUUGGAACUGAGACACGGUCCAAACUCCUACGGGAGGCAGCAGUGAGGAAUAUUGGUCAAUGGGGCGAGAGCCUGAACCAGCCAAGUAGCGUGAAGGAUGAAGGUCCUACGGAUUGUAAACUUCUUUUAUACGGGAAUAAAGUAUCCUACGUGUAGGAUUUUGUAUGUACCGUAUGAAUAAGCAUCGGCUAACUCCGUG
RNAcentral lists this ribosomal RNA (491 nucleotides) under uncultured bacterium. RNAcentral describes it as "bacterial SSU rRNA". It matches the Rfam family "Bacterial small subunit ribosomal RNA", at positions 28 to 507 of the family's 1533-position model. The record is from RNAcentral.